RNAcentral lists this ribosomal RNA (464 nucleotides) under uncultured bacterium. RNAcentral describes it as "partial 16S ribosomal RNA". It matches the Rfam family "Bacterial small subunit ribosomal RNA", at positions 339 to 795 of the family's 1533-position model. The record is from RNAcentral.
CUACGGGGCGCUGCAGUGAGGAAUUUUGCGCAAUGGGGGAAACCCUGACGCAGCAACGCCGCGUGAGUGAUGAAGGCCUUCGGGUCGUAAAGCUCUGUCAAGUGGAAAGAACCUGCAAAGUGAUAAUACCAUUUUGCACUGACGGUACCACUGAAGGAAGCACCGGUAACUCCGUGCCAGCAGCCGCGGUAAUACGGGGGGUGCAAGCGUUAUUCGGAAUUAUUGGGCGUAAAGCGCGCGUAGGCGGCUUGUUAAGUCAGAUGUGAAAGCCCGGGGCUUAACCCCGGAAGUGCAUUUGAAACUAAUGGGCUUGAGUAUGGGAGAGGGAAGUGGAAUUCCUGGUGUAGAGGUGAAAUUCGUAGAUAUCAGGAGGAACACCGGUGGCGAAGGCGACUUCCUGGACCAAUACUGACGCUGAUGCGCGAAGGCGUGGGGAGCAAACAGGAUUAGAUACCCGGGUAGUC